RNAcentral lists this ribosomal RNA (199 nucleotides) under uncultured bacterium. Its description in RNAcentral is "partial 16S ribosomal RNA". It matches the Rfam family "Bacterial small subunit ribosomal RNA", at positions 328 to 539 of the family's 1533-position model. The record is from RNAcentral.
ACGCUCGACACCUACGGAGGCAGCAGUGGGGAAUAUUGGGCAAUGGGCGCAAGCCUGACCCAGCAACGCCGCGUGAAGGAAGAAGGCCCUCGGGUUGUAAACUUCUUUUGUCAGGGACGAACAGAUGACGGUACCUGACGAAUAAGCUCCGGCUAACUACGUGCCAGCAGCCGUGGUAAUCUGAGCGGGCUGGCAAGGC